CCUACGGGAGGCAGCAGUGAGGAAUAUUGGUCAAUGGACGGAAGUCUGAACCAGCCAUGCCGCGUGCAGGAUGACGGCUCUAUGAGUUGUAAACUGCUUUUGUACGAGAAUAAUAGUUCUUACGUGUAGGGAUUUGAAUGUAUCUUACGAAUAAGGAUCGGCUAACUCCGUGCCAGCAGCCGCGGUAAUACGGAGGAUUCGAGCGUUAUCCGGAUUUAGUGGGUUUAAAGGGUGCGUAGGCUGUCGGAUAAGUUAGAGGUCAAAUGUCGGGGCUGAACCCCGUGCCUGCCUCUGUUACUGUUAGACUAGAGAGCGGAUGCAGCAGGCGGAAUGAGUAGUGUAGCGGUGAAAUGCUUAGAUAUUACUCAGAACACCGAUUGCGCAGGCAGCUUGCUAAUCCGCAUCUGACGCUGAUGCUCGAAAGCGCGGGUAUCGAACAGGAUUAGAUACCCCGGUAGUC
Molecule: ribosomal RNA, 460 nt
Filed under: uncultured bacterium
Lineage: Bacteria
Description: partial 16S ribosomal RNA
Rfam family: Bacterial small subunit ribosomal RNA
Source: RNAcentral